CCUACGUGAGGCAGCAGUGAGGAAUAUUGGUCAAUGGGCGCGAGCCUGAACCAGCCAAGUAGCGUGAAGGAUGACUGCCCUACGGGUUGUAAACUUCUUUUAUAAAGGAAUAAAGUGAGGCACGUGUGCCUUUUUGUAUGUACUUUAUGAAUAAGGAUCGGCUAACUCCGUGCCAGCAGCCGCGGUAAUCCGGAGGAUCCGAGCGUUAUCCGGAUUUAUUGGGUUUAAAGGUAGCGUAGAUGGGUUGUUAAGUCAGUUGUGAAAGUUUGCGGCUCAACCGUAAAAUUGCAAUUGAUACUGGCAGUCUUGAGUACAGUUGAGGUAGGCGGAAUUCGUGGUGUAGCGGUGAAAUGCUUAGAUAUCACGAAGAACUCCGAUUGCGAAGGCAGCUUACUAAACUGCCACUGACAUUGAUGCUCGAAAGUGUGGGUAUCAAACAGGAUUAGAUACCCGAGUAGUC
This 460-nucleotide ribosomal RNA is filed under the name uncultured bacterium. RNAcentral's name for it is "partial 16S ribosomal RNA". It matches the Rfam family "Bacterial small subunit ribosomal RNA", at positions 338 to 795 of the family's 1533-position model. The record is from RNAcentral.